GGUCAGAUAAGGCGUUUUCGCCGCAUCCGACAUUCGCACACGAUGCCUGAUGCGACGCUGGCGCGUCUUAUCAGGCC
This 77-nucleotide non-coding RNA is filed under the name Escherichia coli. Its description in RNAcentral is "Nucleoid-associated noncoding RNA 4 (CssrE)". It matches the Rfam family "Nucleoid-associated noncoding RNA 4 (CssrE)". Rfam says of the family: In E. coli small RNA transcribed from repeated extragenic palindromic element (REP325) called nucleoid-associated ncRNA 4 (nRNA4) collaborates HU protein in condensing the DNA. The secondary structure but not the sequence of the RNA is important in nucleoid condensation. The record is from RNAcentral. Lineage: Bacteria; Pseudomonadati; Pseudomonadota; Gammaproteobacteria; Enterobacterales; Enterobacteriaceae. RNAcentral also lists the same sequence under 3 other names.